Long non-coding RNA from Megalobrama amblycephala (Wuchang bream), 1497 nucleotides. RefSeq lists it as uncharacterized. The record is from RefSeq and is a predicted model, not a curated record. Lineage: Eukaryota; Metazoa; Chordata; Actinopteri; Cypriniformes; Xenocyprididae. The transcript is spliced from 5 exons.
UGCAAGAACGUUUGUUCAUAACAUUAAGAGAACCUUGCCAGAACGUUCCCUGUUAGCUGGGCGAUCUGCUUGAAUCACUUCUGUAAAAAAGCAACUACAUAUUUUCCAUUUUACCUCAGAAAGGUGAAUUACGUGAAUAAAAACAAAUAUCUUCAGUAAAUAUCUUGAUUAAAGAAUGAUUAGAUAUUUGUGCUGGAAAACGAGAAACGCAGAUGUGUGGAGUGAAUCCGGCGUCUCGCGCGUGUCUGGUAUAAUGAGUGUGUGUGGGAGCGGGUGGCCUCCUUCAGGUCCUCUCGUCUCACAGAACAGAAAUAGCGGCGGCGGUGAAUUCUCUCUGCGGUGUUUUCAAAAUGGAAAUAAAGGCGUGAGCGUGAAUCCACUUCCUCUGGAGUCUUACGUAAAGCUUCUCAGAUUUCAUCUGGUUCCACUUAAAGCGCCUGCUGUUCAGAAACACCUUCCACUGCUUCAUAUUUGACUCCUGAUGAAACAUCUGCUGACAGCUGGAGCGCUGUGAUGAUUGAUGACUGCAGGAGACCCACACGGAGUGUGUGUGUGUGUGUGUGUGUGUGUGUGUGUGUGCGUGUUCUUCCUCAGUAUUUUUCUCUUGUUUUCCAGUAGGUUCUAUACUGUAAAUCAGCUGAAUGAUUUAUGAACAACGCUUCAGAAUAUAGAUAUGAAUAGAAGAGUGUUUUUGCCUGUGGUGAAUGCAUUAAAUGUGUAGUUUUACAGCAUCUCCAGUGUUCGUCUCUGAUCACGUGUCGACGCACCGCACCGACUGUGCCGUUUAUCAUCCCACUCUAUUAACUUCCUGUCCAGCACAACAAUGAGCAACGACACACGGCAUCUGAGCCGCUCUGGCCAGCAAACGGCCUGUCUGUAUGUGUGUGUGUGUGUGUGUGUGUGUUUCAGAUCUGAUCCCGAGGGUCGUAACAGGAAGAGAGUAACGCAGCUGUGCAGUUCAGUGAGCUUGACUGUGUGUGAAUUAGAUUCCAGUGUUUCUGUCUCAAAUAUCCAAACAUUCUUCAAUCAAGAUACAUUUACUGGAGAAGAGAAAUGGCUUCAGCACAUAUUCCGGAGGGCGUGGCUUUAGAACGAGAACGCCCUUCAUCUUAAAAACAGCUACAAGUAUCAGGACACAGAAAACUGAUGGUUCUGAACGCCUGUUAACCUUCAGUAAAGCAGUCACAGUUAUGAAUCAUCUUCUCAAAUCCCAUUCAGAGCAUUUUUGCAUCAGCACAAACAUCUCAAUGUUACUGGAGAGGCAAAAUGACUGAAGAUAUUUGAAGCUCACUGAUUGGCUAACAAACUGGAUACGGUUGCCAUGGCACCUGCCAAACCAUUCAUACUGUACAGCCGAACGUCUUCAGAUGAGUCAGCAGUUCUCAUCCAGUACGAACACACAGAUCACAUCAUGUGAUGAGAGCAGGAGAUAUCUUCAGGUUCUGCAGAUAUAUUCGUUCAUUCAUCAGCAAAUUGUUUCUGACUCUCACCUGACUU